RNAcentral lists this ribosomal RNA (492 nucleotides) under uncultured bacterium. RNAcentral's name for it is "partial 16S ribosomal RNA". It matches the Rfam family "Bacterial small subunit ribosomal RNA", at positions 29 to 507 of the family's 1533-position model. The record is from RNAcentral.
AGUGAACGCUGGCGGUAGGCCUAACACAUGCAAGUCGAACGGCAGCACAGUAAGAGCUUGCUCUUACGGGUGGCGAGUGGCGGACGGGUGAGGAAUACAUCGGAAUCUACUUUUUCGUGGGGGAUAACGUAGGGAAACUUACGCUAAUACCGCAUACGACCUACGGGUGAAAGCAGGGGAUCUUCGGACCUUGCGCGAUUGAAUGAGCCGAUGUCGGAUUAGCUAGUUGGCGGGGUAAAGGCCCACCAAGGCGACGAUCCGUAGCUGGUCUGAGAGGAUGGUCAGCCACACUGGAACUGAGACACGGUCCAGGCUCCUAAGGGAGGCAGCAGUGGGGAAUAUUGGACAAUGGGCGCAAGCCUGAUCCAGCCAUACCGCGUGGGUGAAGAAGGCCUUCGGGUUGUAAAGCCCUUUUGUUGGGAAAGAAAAGCAGCAGGUUAAUACCCCGCUGUUCUGACGGUACCCAAAGAAUAAGCACCGGCUAACUUCGUG